This 21-nucleotide unclassified non-coding RNA is filed under the name Chlamydomonas reinhardtii. Its description in RNAcentral is "small RNA Cre_3966". The record is from RNAcentral. Lineage: Eukaryota; Viridiplantae; Chlorophyta; Chlorophyceae; Chlamydomonadales; Chlamydomonadaceae.
UUGCUUGUGCUAGCUCACUGG